AUUAAUCUUCCCUGCCCUGACUCAGACAAACGGGAGCACAAGGUGUUACUGGAGUCUGGUUCUCUCCCUCCAGUGUGGCGCUUUCCGAGAGUCACGCGGGUUGCCCUCACUGAUGACACUGAGGACCUCGUCCUGCGCUCAUGGAGGAUUGCCAUGGGAUGCGUCUGCUCAAGUUCGAAGCCCUUCUGUUUCAGCUGUUCAUCUUUAUUAAUUUCCUUUUCACCUUCACAGUGUUUUUGAUUCUACAUACAAGGUGGUUUCCUCGUGCACAAGUGACCCUCAGCGUGCUCUCUGAAACCUUCCAGGACACCCUUCCUGCAGCUGUCCUCUCUGUGUCUCUGCCAAGUGAGCUUACGCUGCCCUGGCCUCUCCAGAUACUUGGAUCCUUCUCCUCAAAGCUCAGGAGACUGCUGAGCUCUUUUGAGGGUGUUGGUGCAUGAGAACCCCCUCCAGGCAGCUGUGGGGGCAAGGAAAGGACCCCUCACUCACUUCCUGCUUCUCAGGGGUCACCAUUCUGCACUGCCUAAGGUCUACUACAGAAAGGUCAUUCUUCUUGUUUUUUGUUUCAGGAGGGGUAAUGGAUACAGUGAAGUCCUCUGAAAAAGCAGUUUUUAAGGCAUUCUUGUGCAGUAAUUUAAGUCCAAAGAUCCAAAUUUCUUGCAGAUUCCCCUGCUCUCCUGAACUUGCAAUCAUAUCUAUAAUUUUACCUGGCAAGCUCAUAAAGCGGGGUGAAGUCGAUAUUUUAAUGAAUAUGAAGGAUAGCAUUGUAGUAAAGGAAAAUGAGACUUCUCUUUAGAUUAGAUAAAAGUUUUAAAAUUAGCAUAGUUCUUUACCACUAGAAAAGAGCUAUGAGAAUGAAAAGGGUUUAUUGUGGCUCAUUAAUUUGGUUUUAAUGUUACACUACUCAGAAUUUCCUAAUUUGGGCAAGUAUUUUAAUGUAUUACUUUUUGAUGCUGAGGAUCGA
Chinchilla lanigera (long-tailed chinchilla) is the source of this 964-nucleotide long non-coding RNA. RefSeq lists it as uncharacterized. The record is from RefSeq and is a predicted model, not a curated record. NCBI's taxonomy places the organism in Eukaryota, Metazoa, Chordata, Mammalia, Rodentia, Chinchillidae. The transcript has 3 exons.